This 547-nucleotide ribosomal RNA is filed under the name uncultured archaeon. RNAcentral's name for it is "bacterial SSU rRNA". It matches the Rfam family "Archaeal small subunit ribosomal RNA", at positions 21 to 581 of the family's 1478-position model. The record is from RNAcentral.
GGACACUGCUAUCGGUGUUCGAUUAAGCCAUGCGAGUCGUGAGGUAACUCGGCGGAGUGCUCAGUAACACGUGGACAACCUACCCAAGAGUCAGGGAUAACCCCGGGAAACUGGGGAUAAUACCUGAUAGGCCAUGACAUCUGGAAUCAGUUGUGGUUUAAACGUAAGGCUCUUGGAUGGGUCUGCGGCGGAUUAGGUUGUUGCCGGUGUAACGUACCAGCAAGCCUGUAAUCCGUACGGGUUGUGGGAGCAAGAGCCCGGAGAUGGAUUCUGAGACACGAAUCCAGGCCCUACGGGGCGCAGCAGGCGCGAAAACUCUACAAUGCAGGCAACUGCGAUAGGGGAACAUCGAGUGGCAUCCACCAUGGAUGUCUGUCCAAUCGUCUAAAAAACGAUGUCAGCAAGGGCCGGGCAAGACCGGUGCCAGCCGCCGCGGUAAUACCGGCGGCUCGAGUGGUGGCCGAUAUUAUUGAGUCUAAAGGGUCCGUAGCCGGCUUUGCAAGUCCUAUGGGAAAUCCAGCGGCUUAACCGUUGGGCUUUCAUGGGA